This 420-nucleotide ribosomal RNA is filed under the name bacterium. RNAcentral's name for it is "partial 16S ribosomal RNA". It matches the Rfam family "Bacterial small subunit ribosomal RNA", at positions 355 to 776 of the family's 1533-position model. The record is from RNAcentral.
UGGGGGAUAUUGCACAAUGGGCGAAAGCCUGAUGCAGCGACGCCGCGUGGGGGAUGAAGGCUUUCGGGUUGUAAACCUCUUUCGCUAUCGAACAAGGCCCGCUUAGGGUGGGUUGAGGGUAGGUGGAGAAGAAGCGCCGGCUAACUACGUGCCAGCAGCCGCGGUAAUACGUAGGGCGCGAGCGUUGUCCGGAAUUAUUGGGCGUAAAGGGCUUGUAGGCGGCUUGUUGCGCCUGCUGUGAAAACGCGGGGCUUAACUUCGCGCGUGCAGUGGGUACGGGCAGGCUUGAGUGUGGUAGGGGUGACUGGAAUUCCAGGUGUAGCGGUGGAAUGCGCAGAUAUCUGGAGGAACACCGAUGGCGAAGGCAGGUCACUGGGCCAUUACUGACGCUGAGGAGCGAAAGCAUGGGUAGCGAACGGG